UUCUGGGUAGUACAAAUGGUUGACACACUUGUCUGAUAACCAAAAGGCUGGUGGUUCGAGUCCACCCAGAAG
RNAcentral lists this transfer RNA (72 nucleotides) under Loxodonta africana (African savanna elephant). It matches the Rfam family "tRNA". Rfam says of the family: Transfer RNA (tRNA) molecules are approximately 80 nucleotides in length. Their secondary structure includes four short double-helical elements and three loops (D, anti-codon, and T loops). The record is from Rfam by way of RNAcentral. Lineage: Eukaryota; Metazoa; Chordata; Mammalia; Proboscidea; Elephantidae.